AAUCGGUAAGUCAUAAAUUUUUGGUAUUUACUAUUGGGUGUUCGAGUCGCCCCAACAUAAUAUGUUGUCGACU
RNAcentral lists this transfer RNA (73 nucleotides) under Aspergillus flavus. Its description in RNAcentral is "tRNA-Gln". The record is from RNAcentral. Lineage: Eukaryota; Fungi; Ascomycota; Eurotiomycetes; Eurotiales; Aspergillaceae.